GAGUUUGAUCCUGGCUCAGAUUGAACGCUGGCGGCAGGCCUAACACAUGCAAGUCGAGCGGAAACGAGUUAACUGAACCUUCGGGGAACGUUAACGGCGUCGAGCGGCGGACGGGUGAGUAAUGCCUGGGAAAUUGCCCUGAUGUGGGGGAUAACCAUUGGAAACGAUGGCUAAUACCGCAUAAUAGCUUCGGCUCAAAGAGGGGGACCUUCGGGCCUCUCGCGUCAGGAUAUGCCCAGGUGGGAUUAGCUAGUUGGUGAGGUAAUGGCUCACCAAGGCGACGAUCCCUAGCUGGUCUGAGAGGAUGAUCAGCCACACUGGAACUGAGACACGGUCCAGACUCCUACGGGAGGCAGCAGUGGGGAAUAUUGCACAAUGGGCGCAAGCCUGAUGCAGCCAUGCCGCGUGUAUGAAGAAGGCCUUCGGGUUGUA
This 432-nucleotide ribosomal RNA is filed under the name uncultured bacterium. RNAcentral describes it as "bacterial SSU rRNA". It matches the Rfam family "Bacterial small subunit ribosomal RNA", at positions 9 to 427 of the family's 1533-position model. The record is from RNAcentral.